Molecule: long non-coding RNA, 817 nt
Organism: Papaver somniferum (opium poppy)
Lineage: Eukaryota; Viridiplantae; Streptophyta; Magnoliopsida; Ranunculales; Papaveraceae
Exons: 3
Source: RefSeq, a predicted model, not a curated record
UGCAAGAUGAAUGGAUACCCCUAAUGGCUUGCUUGCAGUAACUGACCAUAUCGCCCUUCACUGUGCUUUCACUGAUGAAAGUUUUCAGAUUGUAAAUGCUGAAUUCCUGCAGCAAGUAAAACCUUUGCACUGGAUGGUGCUGAAGGGCCACGACGGAUGGAAGCAUGAGUUUGGGCAUUAACCUUAGGGUAAGAAGAUGCUGAAUGUAAUGAUAAAUAUUACCCUGCAGUGCAGAUUACAGUGAAGCAGGGUUGGAGAGAAGUGAAAAAGCUAUCUCCAUAUUGCAGUCUUACUUUUGGAUAUGGGGUUAUCCUAAAGGAAUGCAGUACGCAAUGUGGAUAAUGAGGAAAAUGAAAGUGGUUAUGAAGAUGAACAAUAUGGGCGACAAGACAAAGAAAGAGGACAUCCAAAUGACUCCAGAAACCAGCAAAUUUGAAUCUUCCAGGUUGAAGACAAAGAAAGUGGACAAGACGAAAAUUUGUGCAGUAUGAAAAGUGCAUUAAGUUGAAUGUGUGUGAACUCUUCCAGGUUAGCGAGCGCCCUUCUACUAUUGUACUUUUCAAACUAUAUUUGCUCUUGAUGUCCUGAAAAUGUGAUGCUUUGUAUUUUCCUUAUCUUGUUUCUCUGGGAAGCUCUCUUGCACUUUAGAUAAAUAGAAGAAUAGAAUUUGUAUUUCAUUGUGUGGGAAAAUUGUGCUUUGGAAAGGUUAUCUUCUUGAGGAGUGCAGGCUUGUCAACUGCAGAAACCCCUCCCUAAGUUCUGCUUCUUUGGUCUUAGUUAUUAUCAAUUUAGUCUGUUGUUUCUCCUUGUUGGACCA